AUCGGCCACACUGGAACUGAGACACGGUCCAGACUCCUACGGGAGGCAGCAGUGGGGAAUAUUGCGCAAUGGGGGAAACCCUGACGCAGCAACGCCGCGUGAGUGAUGAAGGCCUUCGAGUCGUAAAACUCUGUCUUUGGGGACGAAUAAUGACGGUACCCAAGGAGGAAGCCCCGGCUAACUACGUGCCAGCAGCCGCGGUAAUACGUAGGGGGCAAGCGUUGUCCGGAAUCACUGGGCGUAAAGGGCGCGUAGGCGGUUUGUUAAGUCAGGUGUGAAAGUUUUCAGCUUAACUGGAAAAGUGCACUUGAAACUAACUUACUUGAGUACUGGAGAGGUAAGCGGAAUUCCUAGUGUAGCGGUGAAAUGCGUAGAUAUUAGGAAGAACACCGGUGGCGAAGGCGGCUUACUGGACAGAGACUGACGCUGAGGCGCGAAAGCGUGGGGAGCGAACAGGAUUAGAUACCCUGGUAGUCCACGCCGUAAACGAUGAGUAUUAGGUGUUGCCGAGAGGCAGUGCCGCAGUUAACACAAUAAAUACUCCGCCUGGGGAGUACGGUCGCAAGACUGAAACUCAAAGGAAUUGACGGGACCCCGCACAAGUAGCGGAGCAUGUGGUUUAAUUCGAAGCAACGCGAAGAACCUUACCAGGUCUUGACAUCCUCUGGCGACGCUAGAGAUAGCGUUUUCCUUUCGGGGACAGAGAGACAGGUGGUGCAUGGUUGUCGUCAGCUCGUGUCGUGAGAUGUUGGGUUAAGUCCCGCAACGAGCGCAACCCUUGUGUUUAGUUGCCAGCGGUAAGGCCGGGCACUCUAAACAGACUGCCGUAGAUAAUACGGAGGAAGGUGGGGAUGACGUCAAAUCAUCAUGCCCCUUAUGACCUGGGCUACACACGUGCUACAAUGGGAUGUACAGAGGGUAGCGAAAUAGUGAUAUGGAGCCAAUCUCAAAAAACAUCUCUCAGUUCGGAUUGCAGGCUGCAACUCGCCUGCAUGAAGUCGGAGUUACUAGUAAUCGCAAAUCAGAAUGUUGCGGUGAAUGCGUUCCCGGGGUUUGUACACACCGCCCGUCACACCACGAAAGUCGGCAACACCCGAAGUCAGUGAGCUAACCAAACGGAAGCAGCUGCCUAAGGUGGGGUUGAUGAUUGGGGUGAAG
RNAcentral lists this ribosomal RNA (1158 nucleotides) under uncultured bacterium. RNAcentral's name for it is "bacterial SSU rRNA". It matches the Rfam family "Bacterial small subunit ribosomal RNA", at positions 303 to 1485 of the family's 1533-position model. The record is from RNAcentral.